CCCUCUUGUGGAUUUAUUGUACGGAAUCAACGUUCCCGCGUUCGUCGCCGGUACGUGAAAGUAUGCAGAUAUGGAUGUAUUUUUUACAAAUUUGGUGUUACAGCAUCGAAGAAUUUGGGCCAAUCAAGAUCAAUUUGAAGAUACACGUGUAAUUGUAUUUCUCAUGAAUUUGGCAUUGCAGCAUUGAAGGGUUGAAGACCAAGGAUCUACUCCAAGAUGCAUGAUAUGGUUGUAUUUUUCACGAAUUUGGCGUUGCAGAAUCAAAGGAUUUGGGCCCAUCAAGAUCAAUUUGAAGAUGUGAUUAUACCUAUUUCUGAUGACUUUGGCGUUGCAGUACCGAAGGAUUCGGUUCGGGUCAAGCAGGAUCGACUCCAAGAUGUGGAUAUAUUUCUCACAAAUUUGGCAUUGCAACACUGAAGGAUUUGGGCCAAGCAGGAUUGACUCCAAGAUGCAGAUGUGGAUGUAUUUUUCACGAAUUUGGCGUUACAGCAUUAAAGGAUUUGGGCCAAGCAGAAUCGAUUCGAAAAUGCACAUGUAAUUGCAUUUCUCAUGAAUUUGGCGUUGCAGCAUUGAAGGGUUGAAGACCAAGGAUCUACUCCAAGAUGUAUGAUAUGGUUGUAUUUUUCACGAAUUUGGCGUUGCAGCAUCGAAGGAUUUGGG
Long non-coding RNA from Nylanderia fulva, 660 nucleotides. RefSeq lists it as uncharacterized. The record is from RefSeq and is a predicted model, not a curated record. Lineage: Eukaryota; Metazoa; Arthropoda; Insecta; Hymenoptera; Formicidae.